Molecule: ribosomal RNA, 23 nt
Filed under: Oulophyllia bennettae
Lineage: Eukaryota; Metazoa; Cnidaria; Anthozoa; Scleractinia; Merulinidae
Description: partial 28S ribosomal RNA
Source: RNAcentral
GACCUCAGAUCAGGCAAGGCUAC